RNAcentral lists this unclassified non-coding RNA (694 nucleotides) under Ceratitis capitata (Mediterranean fruit fly). RNAcentral's name for it is "misc RNA LOC101451323". The record is from RNAcentral. Lineage: Eukaryota; Metazoa; Arthropoda; Insecta; Diptera; Tephritidae.
CACAAAUCAUCACAUUGUACGCUCUUUGAACGUGGAAUUUUCUCGUUGCUUGUGUGUGGCAUUAAAUAUUUCACUAUUAUUGAUAUUUCUUUGUUGAACUGAGCAAAAUUUUUUUUAUUUUUCAGAAAAGGAAAAUGUAUUUAUGCCCAUGCAUUGCAUUCAAAGGUGAUUAAUUUGUGUUUCGAUGUGAAGUGUUGCAAAGUUUACAAUAACAAAAAUGGCUAAAAAGUAAGUGCCAGAAAUGAUUUCAUAAUAACAACUUGAGUGUCGACAAAAAGGAGGCCAUCAAACCACGAAGAAAAAUAAAAGAAAAAUAAAAAGAAGGUGUAAAGAAGCAAAGCACAUGUACCUGCACAUACUGAACUUAAUACGUGUAUAAAAUGAAUGAAAUUAUAUUAGAAUAUAAUUAAAAAAGCACUUAGUAAAUAGCGCAAAAGGUCGACAGCGCUGCGGUUGGAGGGAAAAAUUGCAGGCCAAAAAAACGCAGCAUACUUUCAGCUACAUCAACGUGGAUUGAGACCUGAAAGUUCGAAUAUUUAUCCACAUUUUUGAGCACUUGUGCUGUUGUUACGUACACACAUAAACAAGUAUAUUGUCUGCAUUCCUCUGCUCCAAGAAGACAGUCCCGUACAUCAGGCCGGUGUGUUUGCCAUGCAAUAAAGCAAAGGCAAACAUAACAACAACAACAACAACA